RNAcentral lists this transfer RNA (73 nucleotides) under Gammaproteobacteria bacterium. Its description in RNAcentral is "tRNA-Asn". It matches the Rfam family "tRNA". Rfam says of the family: Transfer RNA (tRNA) molecules are approximately 80 nucleotides in length. Their secondary structure includes four short double-helical elements and three loops (D, anti-codon, and T loops). Further hydrogen bonds mediate the characteristic L-shaped molecular structure. tRNAs have two regions of fundamental functional importance: the anti-codon, which is responsible for specific mRNA codon recognition, and the 3' end, to which the tRNAs corresponding amino acid is attached (by aminoacyl-tRNA synthetases). tRNAs cope with the degeneracy of the genetic code in two manners: having more than one tRNA (with a specific anti-codon) for a particular amino acid; and 'wobble' base-pairing, i.e. permitting non-standard base-pairing at the 3rd anti-codon position. Lineage: Bacteria; Pseudomonadati; Pseudomonadota; Gammaproteobacteria. The record is from RNAcentral. RNAcentral also lists the same sequence under 1 other name.
UCCUCGAUAGCUCAGUUGGUAGAGCAAGCGGCUGUUAACCGCUGGGUCGUAGGUUCGAGUCCUACUCGGGGAG